UUGGAGGGCAAGUCUGGUGCCAGCAGCCGCGGUAAUUCCAGCUCCAAUAGCGUAUAUUAAAGUUGUUGCAGUUAAAAAGCUCGUAGUUGAAUUUCGGGAUCAGUACGUUGGUCGUGCCUUAGGUACGUACUGGUGUUACUGGUUUCUACCUUCUGACGAACCAUCAUGUCAUUAAUUUGGUGUGGCGGGGAAUCAGGACUGUUACUUUGAAAAAAUUAGAGUGUUUAAAGCAGGCUCGCGCUUGAAUACAUUAGCAUGGAAUAAUGAAAUAGGACGUUGAUCCUAUUUUGUUGGUUUCUAGGAUUGACGUAAUGAUUAAUAGGGAUAGUUGGGGGCAUUAGUAUUCAAUUGUCAGAGGUGAAAUUCUUGGAUUUAUUGAAGACUAACUACUGCGAAAGCAUUUGCCAAGGAUGUUUUCAUUAAUCAAGAACGAAAGUUAGGGGAUCGAAGACGACCAGAUACCGUCGUAGUCUUAACCAUAAACUAUGCCGACUAGGGAUCGGAUGAUGUUAAUUUUUUAAUGACUCAUUCGGCGCCUUACGGGAAAC
Molecule: ribosomal RNA, 548 nt
Filed under: uncultured Glomeromycotina
Lineage: Eukaryota; Fungi; Glomeromycota
Description: SSU rRNA
Rfam family: Eukaryotic small subunit ribosomal RNA
Source: RNAcentral